Molecule: ribosomal RNA, 328 nt
Filed under: uncultured eukaryote
Lineage: Eukaryota
Description: partial 18S ribosomal RNA
Rfam family: Eukaryotic small subunit ribosomal RNA
Source: RNAcentral
CCCUUAGAUGUCCUGGGCCGCACGCGCGUUACACUGAUGCAUUCAACGAGCUUAUAACCUUGGCCGAGAGGCCUGGGCAAUCUUGUUAACGUGCAUCGUGAUAGGGAUAGAUUAUUGAAAUUAUUAAUCUUGAACGAGGAAUUCCUAGUAAACGCAGAUCAUCAAUCUGCAUUGAUUACGUCCCUGCCCUUUGUACACACCGCCCGUCGCACCUACCGAUUGGAUGGUCCGGUGAAGCCUCGGGAUUGUGGUUCUUGCCGCCUUAUUGUGGCGUGACCGCGAGAACUUGUCUAAACCUUAUCAUCUAGAGGAAGGUGAANUCGUANCA